This is a long non-coding RNA of Falco peregrinus (peregrine falcon), 6582 nucleotides long. RefSeq lists it as uncharacterized. The record is from RefSeq and is a predicted model, not a curated record. The transcript is spliced from 2 exons. Lineage: Eukaryota; Metazoa; Chordata; Aves; Falconiformes; Falconidae.
GGGUUGGAAAAAACACUCAGAUGCAAAACAUGCAAAAAACUAUUUUACUGACAAACAGCAAAGGACGGGCUUAGUUUCAGGAGCUGAACUGGUUAUCUAUUAUACAAACAUAUUAUUGAAAGGGAAGGAAUGGCUGAAAUACACUCACUCGUUGACCCAAAUAAAAUCACAGUGUGCUUUUUCUAUUGCCUCCCCCACCCCCAAGCUCUCUGCGGCUUUCAGCUGCUCCCCUUAGCUUCAGCACAGCGUUGUCACCGCUCCCAGAAUGCAAACUCUAGGUGACGUUUGCCUGUGCAAGUGUAUUUAAUAAAAAAAUUAGCCAUUAUUGCUUUUCAACCACAGUAGAGAUUAUUCUAUGAUUAGACUCGGAGUGGAGUAUAAUCUCUCUCUCUGUUAGUAUCAACAUGUUGUACCUCUUUCCUGUCUGGUGCAUGCAAAAUUGGUUUGAGUGCGGAAAAAAAAGAAAAGAAGGAUUAAUAAUCAGGGAAAACAGCAUUCCAAGUUUUGCUCUUGUAUUCUCACUGCAGAGCACUAUUGAAAAAAAAAAAUCUUCCUAAGCUGUGUGCUCUGUCCUGCAAGGGUUUCCACUGCCUCAGUUGUUGUUUGCUGAGGGUGCUCAGCUCCUGGAAGGAUGGAACCGUCCUCCUGGUGUCACCCCUCCGUGGAAAUCCCAGGGCUCGGCUUGAAGAGGAGACUAAAACUAGCAGCCCCCUUGGGAAAGAAACGAGUGCGAAUGAAUGGGAGGUACCACAGAAGAGGAAUGGACUUCAUGCAGUGACCACAGGAUGACACACACGGACAGAAACACACAGAUGCGCACGGACACGCACACACAAAACCGGACCAGUAUCCUGAGAGCCCAGCCAGGAUGCAGCAAACUGGUAGCCCAGGCUCACUGUAGAGCUUCUGACACCUGCCCACGUGUUCUGCCCUGCUCCCUUUCCUUCUGCCCCGACAGCCUGCACGCAUGGAGUUUGCAGGUCUGGGGUUUUUUUAUUAUUUUUCUCGCUCUUUUUUUUUUUUCUUUUUUUUUUUUUUCCUUUCUUUUCCCCUUCAGUAAGUUCUCUUGCUGCUUCGUGCUCUCCAGGGCACCGCAGGGAGCUGGGCUGGCCUGAGGACAUCAUCUCAUCGCUCCCUCCUGAGGUAGAACCAGCAGUCCUGUGUCCCUGCCUCAUGUGUGACACAUAAUGCCCUGGCUGUCCCCUGCUGUACGCCCCAUUGCCUGUCCCUGCAACAUACGUCUGUCCCACCAGCAUGCCCAGGUUGCAAAGCAUUUGAUCCAAAUGUCCUUCUAGCUGUCCUGUCUGCCCUGGUAAGAGAAGUAUUUUUAUUCUUUCACAUUCAGAGGUGCUCUGAAAGCUUCUGUUGGCCCUUUUCUACCUUUCAAAGCCCUCCACAUUCAGAAGAAGCCUUCGUUACCUCCGUGUCCACCCCCACACACACUCUUCAUCGAUGCCACGCUGAAGGUGGAACUGCUGCGGCAAAGCAAAACCUGAAAUGAGACUGAAACUUCCCGUGACAUUUAUUGUCUGCAAGCCUCCAGCCUUGUAUGCGGCGGGGGAAGGAUGAGCGUUGCCCUCCCUUUUCCAGCACAGCCAGUACACGUGAAAUGUUUCCUUCACGAUGUGCUUUCUCCUGAGCUGCGAAUGACCUUGGAUCAGGACUUCCCUCGCUGGCUCACCUAGACCCUACCCCAGGUAAGCAAAGGCUAUUGACGUUUGCAUGUGUGCUGCUUGCUGCAACCUCAACUCUGGGUAUCAACGCUUGGUCUCUUGCAAAACCAGUGGGUUUCAGCUCACCUAUCUGCAUGGCUUUUUUUUUUUUUUUUUUCCACAGAAUGCUUGAGACUGGAAAGGGCCUCUGGAGCUCAUCUGGUCGAACCCCUUGGUCAGGCUGCCCAAGGACACGUCCAGUUGGCUUCUGGCUAUCUCCAAGGAUGGAGACUCCACAACCUCUCUGGCAACUUGUCCCAGUGCUCGGUCACCCUCACCGGAAAAAAAUGUUGCCUGAUGUUCAAGCAGAACCUCCUGCAUUCCACUUUGUGCCCGUUGCCUCUGGUCCUGUCGCUGGACACCACCGCAAAGAGCCCGGCUCUGCCUCCUUUACACCCUCCCUGCAGGUAUUGAUACACCUUGAUUCCCCUGAGCUUUUUCUUCUCUGAAUAGUCCCAGCUCUCUCAGCCUUUCCUCAGAGCAAUGCUCCAGUCCCUCGGCCACCUUUUUAGCAUGCCUUUCUAUCAGGGAUUCUCUUCUCCCAGCUGAGGGCAACUGGAAAAGAGGUAGAGAGGAGCAGUGGGAGUAACUCAAAGCAGGCCCCGCUGCUGUGAACACCUGGGACGCGCUCUGGGUUCCUUGCUGGUCCUUCAGUGUUUAGUGGUAGGUGCUGCCAGAGCUGAUGUGUCCCUGGCUGGCUCAGGGACUGAGCAGCAGGAGGACGGGGUGGCUGGGAUCGACACACGUGCUACCCCUGGCAUCCCCCGGGCCAUGGCUUUGGGCUCCUUCUUUCCUCUCCUGCAACGUGCAGCUCCGCCAGCCCCACUCUGGCACAGUGCUUCUUACACCUACGGUGAAUUUGGCCUCCUGUCGCUUCCUCCUUCCCCCCAGCCAGCCUGCUGGGAGCCUCUGAACGCGGUGGAAGGACAGAUGCCAGGUAGGAAGCAAAGUGGAGGAGCCCACCAGCUUGACAGCCUGCUCUUUAACGAGCGGCAGGACCAGAAAGAAGGUUGCUGUAGCGUGGCUUUAGCUUUACGCUGCCUUGAGGGAGCUCCCUGAGGGGCAAGGGGGUUAUUCAGCGGCGCUGGGGUGGGGGUGGGGGGGCUCGAAUGGAAAAAAAUGCUACUGGUUGCUGCAAUGGAUUUCACAAGCCCUUUGCUUUUCUCCACCUCUUCCCACCCCUCUCCUUUGCACCAGAGCCCAGCCACCAGCGUGCAGCCAGCCCAGCCUGCGCUCCUCACACCAAAAAUGCAGGAGAACAUUUCCAGUGCCCAUCCCAGCUCUGGAAAACGGGCAUGGACAGUUUGAAGCUCUGUUUCUGCUCUAAAAAUAGUCCUUCCUGAGGCGGCACAAAAUCCCCCCCCCCCUCGAAGCCUGCAGAAGCCUCCCUCGAAGCAUCUGGCGGAUGCGCGCUGAGACACGGCACCCACUUCCCACUCCUUUGUCCCCAAGAGCUGCCACUGCAGGCGCAGCUGCCAGCUGGAAGCUUUGCAACCCCCUGUUCCCUCUUCCACAUGUUCUGACCAGUAUCUUGCCCACCCUGACCUUGUUGCAGCAACCCCCCGAUGCCAAAGUCACUUUCAGCUUUCUGUUUGGGGCUGUUGCUGGGGUUGGGGGGGUUGAUCUGUGGGGCUUUUUGUUGUUGUUGUUGUUUCUUUUUUUUUUGGUGUGUGCAUGUGAAGACUGGAUCAGAGGCAAGAGAACAACAACCAAGUCAACACUAGUACAUCUCAGACAAUUAAACGAGGAGAAAACACCCCCACGACCAGACAAAAGCAAAGUGAACACACGCACAGGAGAAGACAACGGUGCGACGGCAGACUUUACAGACAACGGAGCUGCGAGCAACGGUAGCAAUGCACUUGGACAGAGGGACAAGAGAGCACGACGUCGGACGCUGUUGGUAAGGCUCGCACCUCCAGCGGGAUCGGCUGAGGGGAUGGGGUAGGGACAAGAGCGCUGAUGUCGAGCAGAGAGAGCAGGCGCUGCUGGGGGCGAUGCAGCUCUGGUCCUGGGGUUCAGCCCUAACGCUGGUCCUGCCUCGGCUGCCUUCUGCCACCCUGGGGGGCUCUGGGCUUGUUCCCCCAAGAGGAGCCGGGGCAGCCACUCGGCUGCGGGGACAACAGCCAUCCUUCACGCAGGUAAAUGCCAGGUGGCACCUGGGCUGCUCCUCUGCGGGGACUUCUCACCAGCGUUUGUUUUUUUGUUUGUUUGAGGCACCCCUGCCGGGGAGCACCCCAUCUCCUGGGGCAGGAGGGGGACCAGGAAGCAGCUUGGCCCAAUUAAUUAAGGAUGAGAAUGAAAGUUCUCCAGUUCCCCAGAAUCAGCCUGUGCUGGGACAAACCUCACUCCAUGAGGGUCUUCCUGGUUUCCUUAGAUUUAAGACUGGUGAAUUAACUCCCAGUAAAUUUAAUUGCGCUCAGAGUAUUUUUUUUUGUUUUAUUUUUUGACUAGGUGUAAACAAGAGAUAGGCUCGCAAGGUAAUAGCUGCAGACACAGCAAAUUAAAAAAAAAAAAAAAAAGUCUGUUCUUAAACCAUGGGAAAUGUACCAUGUAGGAUUUUGGUUUUCUCCCCUCUCUUCCAGAACCUCAUAUUCUUCUGAAAUUCUGGUGUGGGUCAGAGUUACUCAGUGUGAGCCGUCCUCCACUCUUUCCAGCUGUAAGUUUCAUAUUUAAUGAUAUUUUAACUAAGGUCAGUUACUAGAGCAGGGCAGAACCAGACUUUUGCUUCAGUCUGAGUUUAGGUCACUGCCUCCACUCUCCCUGGUGAGAGGCUCCAAGUGGAAAGAGAUUUUUAAGUGCUUUUUUCCCUCAUAACUAGUUCCAGAGGCUCGGUAUUUAUCUCUAGCACGAUGGAAUUUUCUCCCCUGCAAAAUGUUGUCCCAUCUGAAGACGUGCCCGUGACACGUCCCUGCUUUAUAACACAGUACCUAUUCCUCGCGGCCACUUCAUCAUGUGCCACCACCCCCGGGCAAAGCGAGCAGCAGGUCUCAUCGGGCACCCUACGAGGGACACUGGGCUGCGGUGACACCACUGGAGGGUGGCUGCAGACAUGACAACCCUAGGAAGUCCUGGACGGCAGACAGUCAAGCAGACAGACCUAAGUAUAGGCUGGGCAAUUAUUUAGGCUCAGACAGAAACUGGGGCUCCAAGAUAAGAGGCACUAGGGAAUAGCAAAGGUAGGAAUGGAAGAGAAACAGGCUCUUGGUCAGCUUUGGGGCUUGUAAGUAACUGAACUGGUCCUGGGCAUAGAAAACAAUGGGGAAAAAAAAACCAAAACCCACCCCAAGACACAGAAGCUGAAGCAGGGAGGAAAAGAGCAGGGAGUCAUGGUGUCCUUUUCCCUUCACUGACAUUGCAAUCAACUAGGAGGCCACUGACAGUGUCAAGGAAUCCAGAGAAGAAAACAGCAGUUUCUGAUAAUCAUCAUCAUCCUUUUGUUCUGGAUGUUUUCCCCAUUGAAGCACAAGCCCACUCAAUACAAAGUGAUGAAUAAAGGAGAAAUGAUUGGGAUUCAGGGCUACCACCUUUAAAAUUCUUGGGGCUAGCAUCUCCCUCCCUCUCCAUAAAAAUCCCUCUUUCCACUGCAGCGAGCAGGGCUACUGCUGCCUGCUGCCCAGCACGUGCGAGAGCAAUGCAGCCUGGCUGCAUCCACAUCCCUCCCCCAGCAGAACGUGACUGCUCCAGGAAUCUGCUGUCUAGGUGCACGCAGGCUUUCUCGGCUCCUUCAGGCAACUCUGGAAGUGAACGAGGGCUCUGGAGGUGGAGGUUGGUUUCAGAUACUUGAUAGCUACCUUGAAACUCACACCUAAGCUGCGACCAGGGGAAGCAAAGGCAAAACCCAUGUUAGAGCAUCCUCGUGCUUUGAUUCGACCCCUUGCUGGGGCGCUGGGCUCUGUAGGCGAGUUUGGCUUCAGGCUCACAUCGCACUGUGCCCCUCAAGCCAAGCCCAGCCUGCUGCUGAAGGGCUGCUUCAGCUGGGAGCAGCAACACCAGAGCAGGGGUGGCUCUUCAUGUGCGGGAAGAGGGAUGCUGUCACCAGGAUCCUCUCGCUGCACUGCCGGUGUUUCUGGGGUGGCAUUAACCAGGACCUCUGGCUCCCCCCCCAAAAAAGAGGGUGCAGAGCAUCUCCUUCCCUCCCAGGCACGGGGCGGGUGGUGGUUUUGCAGCAGAGGGGGACGAUCAGGGUGCAAGUCGGAUCUAACACCAUUCACUACGCUUCUCCUCGCCUAUCAGGAGCAACUCCUCUCUACCACGAGUGAGGAAUAACAGCACUGACAUCAGCAAGGUACCACCGAUACAAAAGUGAUGUAAACCAGGCAGCACCAGCCUGCGAAACGGACCGAUACCUCAUAGUACUGUUCCCCUGGUACUAAGAUUUCUUGGAUUGCUUAAGGCAGGUUUCAGUGUACAGCAAUGCAAACAACAGAUCAGUUAUAUAUUCCCAGGGCUUCCUUCCCCCCCAGCAACUCCCCAAACCAGGAACCGAAGCAAAAGGGACACUGUGCCUUCACAACUAGCUGGCAGCAGUCCCCAUCCAAACCUGUGACCAGCCAAGCCAUUCUAGCAACGGAAGGAACAGAGCAGAGCAAAACCAAGCCAAAGGACCAAAGAAACAGGGGACUCGAGCUCUUGGAUGAGAAACUCUGCAUCUUCUUCGUGUUGUCCCACCUCCAUCCCCUUGGCCAACGUUCCCCGGAGGGUAGCUGGACGUGCAGGACAGCCGUGAAUGCCAGGAAAAGGGGGUUGAAAGUAUAAUGCAAAUCUCUUUUCUCUUUUUUUCUUUGUUUUUGUUUGUCUGCUUUUUACAUAUAUACACAAGUCUGACAAUAAAACGUAGAACACAGUGCAAUGUCUUGGCUGCGUAGCA